This is a long non-coding RNA of Gorilla gorilla gorilla (western lowland gorilla), 406 nucleotides long. RefSeq lists it as uncharacterized. The record is from RefSeq and is a predicted model, not a curated record. Lineage: Eukaryota; Metazoa; Chordata; Mammalia; Primates; Hominidae. The transcript is spliced from 4 exons.
CCAAGGCAACCUAGAGAGUGAAUGAGAAGGCAGAAAAAAAUCAAGGCAGUAAGAUGGAGAAGCCAGUCCUUUCUCCUCCACUGCAGGAGUGACAGACCACUAUCUGUUGCCUGAGAGGGGCCAGCCACCAGGAUAAAUUUGAAGAGGCAGUUUGGGAAAGGAAAGUAGCUGUGCUCUGCUUAAACUCUUAUCUGAAGAGACUGAAUAAACAGUCCACUUGAAAGCAGGCAUACUGAAUAUCUAUUGAAAGUUAAGAGACCAUACAGUAUGUUCCAGAAGAAUUAAGAUCCAGAUGUGAUCGAGGAACUUCUCAUGACAGUGGAAAAACUCAGCCUGCCAAUAUUACUAAAGGGGAAAAAAAGGUUUUGAGGUAGAUAUCCUCCAGAUUUUGUUGGACAAGGGGGAA